UUUAAACUCUCUCGGUGACCUCCUGAUCAGCCAGUCAGGAUGAGAGAGUCAAGGGUACAGUAGACAGACUGUAUAUGCACGUGUGUGUGUGUGUGUGUGUGUGUGUGUGUGUGUGUGUGUGUGUGUGUGUGUGUGUAUGUGUGUUUAUUUUGAGAGAACAGGGGCUGUUUCUUCUUAGCAGAGUAUCUCACUCUGGCCAUUUAACAUAGUAUAAAAGUACUUUUAUAAUAAGCAUCAAAUAUGAUUUAUAUAUAGACUUUCAUAGUGCACACACCUGAAAGGGGGGAAUAGCUCAUCACAUUGUACUUUAUACUGUAUCUUUUUCAACAAAACUACUACAUUACUGUUCUUCAGUAUUUUUAAAAACAUACACAUCAUUAUUUUAUAGCUACAGCUGUAAUGGCUGUAAAGCCUAAAGUGUUGUUGCCUAGUGACACAUAAUCCACACCAUAUUUAUAAUAAUAAGUACUUUGUAUUUAAAUUAUUUUUACAAUAUAAUUCCACCAAACUAAAUAGUCUUUGUUAAUAUAUUAUCAUUUUAAAAUAAAUGAUAACUAACAAUGUAAUUGUAGUAUUGGCACUGUUGUCCUGUUUUCCAAUUAAACAUAAAGUUGUUUCCCCCUUAUACUUUAACAUCUUGUCUUCUUUCGCUGUACUUUCUUCCCCAUAUCUGUCCCUUAAAGUUACCCAGUAAGUAUUUUACUGACACCCUGUAAAUACUAAAUUAUUACGUUACAUAAAUUGUGAGCUGUAAUCUCAAGCGUUACAAACGGACCCUCACUUCUCAUCAUUUUAAUGCUUAUCAGAAAUGCAUGAAGCACUUUAUCACAUUAUUUUUCUUUAUGCUUUCUCUCUUUGUUCCUUAUCACAAGACUUUACACUGAGUAUCUAAUACUGCAGUAUUUCAGUGACUUGACUUUCUGCAAAGGGUAAAAAAUGUCAUUGAACUUGAGAACCCUUUCAUUAUCAUUUAGCAUAGAGUGUGUUUACAUAACCUAUAGAAACCAUGCUUUGAAAUGUGAACGGCCUUUUUUUUGUCAAUUUGCUGUUAGUCAAUCAAAACCACAAAGAAAACAACUAUUCCUCUGACAUGAACUACAGUAUGGUUGUAUACUGAGCUGUGAAUGUUUGGAUGAUUGAGUGUGGAACUUAUUUUCAGUCUUAUUGUUCUGUUUUGUCUGACAGUAAUUGUAGCCAAAUUGAAAAUGUUCUGGCAAGGUAAAUAAUAUGUGAUACUGUAGCCUCAAUAUGCAGAAAUAUAACUAUGACAAGAAUGCUAGGGUGGUUUAAAAAAGAAAAAAACAGAUGCAAAAUGUCUGUGUUUGUUUGUUUGUACAUGUGUGCGUUGGUUGGUUUGUUUAUGGCGUGUGAUUUAGUGCAUGCAGUACUUUCUUCUGUAGCUGCUGAGAAACAGUAGUGUUUCUCAGCAGUGUAUCUCAUGACACUACUUUCAAUAAAGAUGAUCCUGUGUACAUAUCAUUAUUAAACUGUCUUGUUAUUACUCUGCAA
Long non-coding RNA from Sander lucioperca (pikeperch), 1509 nucleotides. RefSeq lists it as uncharacterized. The transcript has 2 exons. NCBI's taxonomy places the organism in Eukaryota, Metazoa, Chordata, Actinopteri, Perciformes, Percidae. The record is from RefSeq and is a predicted model, not a curated record.